RNAcentral lists this unclassified non-coding RNA (519 nucleotides) under Hevea brasiliensis (rubber tree). Lineage: Eukaryota; Viridiplantae; Streptophyta; Magnoliopsida; Malpighiales; Euphorbiaceae. The record is from RNAcentral.
GAUUUUUCUGCUCAACAGUAAUUAAUGAAUUAUUGCAUUAUGAAACAUCCAUAUAAACUGUAAGUAGCAAUUGGGAAAUCUGAUAUUUUGUUAUGGAACCUUGCCAGUGUUUUGGAAGUAAAAAUGUUAGUAACAUAUAGCAAUACAUUAUGGUGAUCUAUAGAAUCGACUGGACUUAAUCAAGAUACAAACUUCUGGAAUUUCAUUUCUCAUUGAUUCAAUUGUGGACUAAUUUGCUGCUUAUGUUGUUGCAGAGGCAAGAAGAAUUGAUGUAUAUAAUCUUGUAUGACAUCCUUUUUAGCCAGGAGGUUUUGUUAGCUGGUGAUGCAGAAAAGUUUCUACUGCAGAAAAAGGAUGUGUUGCAGGCAGCACUUGCCAAGCUUUUAGUUCGAAAGAAAGUAAAACAUUUCUCAGAUUUGAUGACUUCUUAUAAAAUUUCUGACCUUCCGAAACCCCGUUAUGCUCGUGUAAAUACUCUGAAAAUGGACGUAGAGUCUGCCCUAGUCGAAUUUAAGAAAC